Molecule: ribosomal RNA, 253 nt
Filed under: uncultured bacterium
Lineage: Bacteria
Description: partial 16S ribosomal RNA
Rfam family: Bacterial small subunit ribosomal RNA
Source: RNAcentral
UACAGAGGUCCCGAGCGUUGUUCGGAUUCACUGGGCGUAAAGGGUGCGUAGGCGGCUUUGUAAGUCUGAUGUGAAAUCUCCGGGCCCAACCCGGAAAUGGCAUUAGAAACUGCAGGGCUGGAGGCUUGGAGGGGGAACUGGAAUUCUCGGUGUAGCAGUGAAAUGCGUAGAGAUCGAGAGGAACACCAGUGGCGAAGGCGAGUUCCUGGACAAGACCUGACGCUGAGGCACGAAAGCCAGGGGAGCAAACAGG